RNAcentral lists this transfer RNA (72 nucleotides) under Camelus bactrianus (Bactrian camel). It matches the Rfam family "tRNA". Rfam says of the family: Transfer RNA (tRNA) molecules are approximately 80 nucleotides in length. Their secondary structure includes four short double-helical elements and three loops (D, anti-codon, and T loops). Lineage: Eukaryota; Metazoa; Chordata; Mammalia; Artiodactyla; Camelidae. RNAcentral also lists the same sequence under 1 other name. The record is from Rfam by way of RNAcentral.
GGAGGGUAAGCUCAGUAGUAGAGUGCAUGCUUAGCAUGCAUGAGGUCCUGCGUUCAAUCCCUAGUCCCUCUA